GACGAACGCUGGCGGCGUGCUUAACACAUGCAAGUCGAACGAAGAGCGAUGGAAGCUUGCUUCUAUCAAUCUUAGUGGCGAACGGGUGAGUAACGCGUAAUCAACCUGCCCUUCAGAGGGGGACAACAGUUGGAAACGACUGCUAAUACCGCAUACGAUCUAAUCUCGGCAUCGAGGAUAGAUGAAAGGUGGCCUCGACAUGUAAGCUAUCACUGAAGGAGGGGAUUGCGUCUGAUUAGCUAGUUGGAGGGGUAACGGCCCACAAAGGCGAUGAUCAGUAGCCGGUCGGAGAGGAUGAACGGCCACAUUGGGACUGAGACACGGCCCAGACUCCUACGGGAGGCAGCAGUGGGGAAUCUUCCGCAAUGGACGAAAGUCUGACGGAGCAACGCCGCGUGAGCGAUGACGGCCUUCGGGUUGUAAAGCUCUGUUAAUCGGGACGAAAGGCCUUCUUGCGAAUAGUGAGAAGGAUUGACGGUACCGGAAUAGAAAGCCACGGCUAACUACGUG
RNAcentral lists this ribosomal RNA (510 nucleotides) under uncultured bacterium. RNAcentral's name for it is "partial 16S ribosomal RNA". It matches the Rfam family "Bacterial small subunit ribosomal RNA", at positions 28 to 507 of the family's 1533-position model. The record is from RNAcentral.